CAGCCGCCGCGGUAAUACGGAGGGUGCAAGCGUUAAUCGGAAUUACUGGGCGUAAAGCGCACGCAGGCGGUCUGACAAGUCAGAUGUGAGAUCCCCGGGCUUAACCUGGGAACUGCAUUUGAAACUGUCAGGCUGGAGUCUUGUAGAGGGGGGUGGAAUUCCAGGUGUAGCGGUGAAAUGCGUAGAGAUCUGGAGGAAUACCGGUGGCGAAGGCGGCCCCCUGGACAAAGACUGACGCUCAGGUGCGAAAGCGUGGGGAGCAAACAGGAUUAGAUACCCCUGUAGUCCCUGUCUCUUAUAC
RNAcentral lists this ribosomal RNA (301 nucleotides) under uncultured bacterium. RNAcentral's name for it is "partial 16S ribosomal RNA". It matches the Rfam family "Bacterial small subunit ribosomal RNA", at positions 509 to 807 of the family's 1533-position model. The record is from RNAcentral.